AGCAGCCGCGGUAAUUCCAGCUCCAAUAGCGUAUAUUAAAGUUGUUGCAGUUAAAAAGCUCGUAGUUGAAUUUCGGGGUUAGUAGGUUGGUCAUGCCUCUGGUAUGUACUGGUCUCACUGAUUCCUCCUUCCUGAUGAACCUUAAUGCCAUUUAUUUGGUGUUUUGGGGAAUUUGGACUGUUACUUUGAAAAAAUUAGAGUGUUUAAAGCAAGCUAACGCUUGAAUACAUUAGCAUGGAAUAAUGAAAUAGGACGUUCGAUCCUAUUUUGUUGGCUUCUAGGAUUGACGUAAUGAUUAAUAGGGAUAGUUGGGGGCAUUAGUAUUCAAUUGUCAGAAGUGAAAUUCUUGGAUUUAUUGAAGACUAACUACUGCGAAAGCAUUUGCCAAGGAUGUUUUCAUUAAUCAAGAACGAAAGUUAGGGGAUCGAAGACGAUCAGAUACCGUCGUAGUCUUAACCAUAAACUAUGCCGACUAGGGAUCGGAUGAUGUUAAUUUUUUAAUGACUCAUUCGGCGCCUUA
RNAcentral lists this ribosomal RNA (520 nucleotides) under uncultured Glomus. RNAcentral describes it as "SSU rRNA". It matches the Rfam family "Eukaryotic small subunit ribosomal RNA", at positions 569 to 1090 of the family's 1831-position model. Lineage: Eukaryota; Fungi; Glomeromycota; Glomeromycetes; Glomerales; Glomeraceae. The record is from RNAcentral.